UGUAUCUGAAGUCUGACGAGGAUGAGAACCUCCGGGGGCAAGAGGUUCGACUCGAGCGAAGCGAGAGAACGUUGCGUCAGCAACGGCCCGCAG
RNAcentral lists this small RNA (93 nucleotides) under Salmonella enterica subsp. enterica serovar Muenchen. RNAcentral's name for it is "partial RtT sRNA". It matches the Rfam family "RtT RNA", at positions 1 to 89 of the family's 130-position model. Rfam says of the family: This family represents a bacterial cis-regulatory element known as RtT RNA. The exact function of RtT is unknown although it is thought that it may be involved in changing the cellular response in relation to amino acid starvation. RNAcentral also lists the same sequence under 3 other names. Lineage: Bacteria; Pseudomonadati; Pseudomonadota; Gammaproteobacteria; Enterobacterales; Enterobacteriaceae. The record is from RNAcentral.